RNAcentral lists this ribosomal RNA (433 nucleotides) under uncultured bacterium. RNAcentral's name for it is "partial 16S ribosomal RNA". It matches the Rfam family "Bacterial small subunit ribosomal RNA", at positions 29 to 507 of the family's 1533-position model. The record is from RNAcentral.
AACGAACGCUGGCGGCAUGCCUAACACAUGCAAGUCGAACGAGACCUUCGGGUCUAGUGGCGCACGGGUGCGUAACGCGUGGGAACCUGCCCUUAGGUUCGGAAUAACUCCCCGAAAGGGGUGCUAAUACCGGAUAAUGUCUUCGGACCAAAGAUUUAUCGCCUUUGGAUGGGCCCGCGUUGGAUUAGCUAGUUGGUAGGGUAAAAGCCUACCAAGGCGACGAUCCAUAGCUGGUCUGAGAGGAUGAUCAGCCACACUGGGACUGAGACACGGCCCAGACGCCGCCGGAAGCGAGCAGGGUGAAAGAUUGAAAGAGGGGGGAAGGCCUACCCCAGCAUGGCCGGGGGAGUAGGAAGGCCCUUGGGGGUGUAAAGUUUUUUCCCCCGGGGUGAUAAGAACAUGCCCGGAAGAAGGAGCCCGGACUACCUCGGUC